GUUGAAAUAUAUUCAUAAUUUUAUUUUCAACAAAACUUUUAAACAUUUAAUUAAAUAAUAUUUAAUUUAAUUCCUACUAGAGCUUUAAAAUAAGUUCAUUAGAAGCAGCAAUUAUUUCUAGGCUUAGGGGUGCCAAAAUUUUUAAUCUGUCGCUGCUUCUGACAGUGUUUCUCAAACAUCAGAUACUUGCAGAGUGGGUUUUCAGUAUUUUUAUCCCAGCCCAUAAUAAUGACAAAAAUGUCAUUUAUCAUAGAGAGUGGAAUAUAUUAUGAUACAGAUGAAACAUUUGCUUCAGGCUCUACUUUUAAAGCAAUCUUAUUUUUCAUGAUUACAAUUUUCAGAAAGAGAGGGAUAUACUUUAACCUUUCAGCUUCAGACCUGAUAUACAGUAUGUAAAUCCAGCCUUGAGAGUAUAUUUAAUAGACCUACUUUUAAAUUUAUUUUUACUUUAUUAUAAUAUUUUAAGUAUUAUUAUCCUAUUUAUGUAUGUAUUAUUUGUAUAUUUUCUAAAGACCAUUACUUUUUUAGGACAAGAUUACAGAUCAGUAGUGGUUUCAAUCCCUAUAUUUCUAAUCCUGGGAUCUCUGAUAUUUUUUAAACAAUCCCGAUUCCGGGAUUAUGCGAAUUCUAAUGCCGAUAUUUCGGGAUCCUGGGAUUAUUUUAUAUUUAUCACAACAUACAAAUAUCUAUUGUCUUUUCUUCUCACAUUCCAUUAUUCAAGAUAAAAUUGCUGCAAUUGUCAUAUGAUGCAAUUUUUUUUAUGACAUCC
This 769-nucleotide long non-coding RNA is filed under the name Androctonus crassicauda. The record is from RNAcentral. Lineage: Eukaryota; Metazoa; Arthropoda; Arachnida; Scorpiones; Buthidae.